AAUUUGUGUCUGUUGGACAUCCCUUUCGUUGCAAUUGGUGUUUUUUUGGUGGGUUUGGUUGGCUCUGUCACGUAGCUUCUCUCCCUUUCAUUUACCAUAUUGGUGGUUCUUCGGUAGGGCUCGAGAUCUUAUCUAGUAUAUCUGAUUUAAGUCAGUAUCGACUCUCUCUCUCUCUCUCUCUCUCUCUCUCCAGAGUUCAUUGGAGCAACCAUGAAUCCUACCCUGUACAAUGCGGUCAUGGAAGGUAAAUUGGAUGUCCUCUGUCAAUACACUGAUGACCAACUCCAUGCCGAAGCCACCCACAAUAGAAACACAGUUCUCCAUGUGGCAGCCCAGUUUGGUCACUUGCCAUGCGUGGAAAAGAUCUUAGAAGCGUGUCCGUCGCUAUUAACCUUUGUGAAUGUCAAAGGCGAGACUCCUCUACAUAUUGCUGCCAGGGAAGGGUACUCCGAAAUAGUCCGCACAAUCAUAGAGAGCGCGAAAAAACUGGAGCAAGAUUCUGAAAGUGGCCGGGGUGCGACAACCAAAGAGAUUUUGAGGGCGACCAAUGUCGACAAAGACGCGGCCUUGCACAUGGCGGUGCGGAAUUGUCACUUUGAGGUAAACAAAUACUUGGAAGUUGUCAUAUUGUUAACCAAAGAAGAUGUGGACUUUGAAUAUCCCGCCAACGAUGCCAAGGAAACUCCAUUGUACCUGGCCGCUGAGCAAGGAGAACAAGGUGUGGACGUGUUGUCUACCCUCUUGUUAAGUACUUGCAAAUCGUCAGCAUACGGCCCUGGUGGUAGAACGGCAUUGCACAUGGCAACACUUCAAGACUUCACAGGUCAAAGCACAAGAAAAUUGCUGGACUGGAAGGUAGAUCUAAUCAACGAAGCAGAUCCAUACGGGUGGACGCCGCUUCACUAUGCCACGUACAUUGGGAAUGUAGCAGCAAUAGGAGAACUACUAGAAACCGAAAACUCAGCGGCAUACAUUGCUAAAGCAGACAAGGAAGAUGGGAACACAGCCUUUCACAUAGCGGCAGCUCAUGGCAAUGUCGAUGUAAUGAGAAUGCUUCUGUCGUACAGUCCAGAUUGUUGGGAGAUAGUCAAUUUUAAAGGACAGAAUGUUCUUCACAUGGCUGUGGAUACUGGAUACAGAGAGGGAACCGGUGAUUGACUUUAUCUUGAGUAACUCAUGGUUAAGGCAUCUUAUAAAUCAGAAAGACAAGGAAGGCAACACGCCUCUUCAUCUGCUUGCUGCUUCUGAUGACAUUGCAAACGAGCUAUGGCACCAAGAUAGAGCUGAACGACACGCUUUCAACAAGAAGAACGUGACCCCUAUGGAUGUAAAAUCUCCGAAUUCUAAGAAGGCUGGAAGAAUUAUAGUCCACAAUGCCCAGGAUAACAUAGCAAAAUGCAAGAAAACGGGUAGAGAUCAAAAGGGGAUGAGGAGAAGGAUCGAAGAAGCUCUGACGAAGAAGAAAAACGAAGAUGCCGACAGGAUGGCAAAAAUGGGUGAGAGCCACAUUAUAGUGGCAGCACUCAUAGCAACCAUCACCUUCGCAGCCGCUUACGCGAUCCCCGGUGGCUAUGAUGGCAACCAAGGUCGGGACCAGGGUAUGGCAGUCCUAUCAAGAAGGGCAGCUUUCAAAGCAUUCGCCAUAACCAACACCAUAGCCGUUGCAUCCUCUGUUUCCUCUUUACUUUUUUACAUAGCUGGAGGAUUUCUUCUCGUCGAAUCUGGCAACGUGGUUGCUCUGGCGAACGUCAAUUUAUAUGGCUUCAUACUUACUUUAAUAUCCCUUGUUGCAAUGAUGCUCGCGUUCAUCUCGGCCUCUUUUGUUGUGUUGGCACACUCUGUUGCCCUUCCCAUCGCCAUGUGUACUAUUUCUUGCGCCCCACUGCUCCUUCUUCUCUUUCCGUUCGCAUAUUGCUGUGUCAACAAGUUCAAGCAGCGGCUUAUGCAUGCGUAACUCUUGAUUAUGGACUCAAACCCACUCUAAAAUUAAUGGAGGGAUUUAAAACUUGUGUGAGGGCAUCUGGAGCUAAAUGGUGUAGUUUUCUUCUUCUUCUUCUUCCAUUUUUUUUUUUUUUUUUGUAUUUAUAAUUGUGGGCUAUGGAUGUAUUCUUGUAGUUUGCUUUGUCGAAUGGAUUCAUGAUUUGUUUUGGAUGUAUUUCGACUCUUAAA
RNA transcript from Rhododendron vialii, 2169 nucleotides. It is a transcript of the gene named protein ACCELERATED CELL DEATH 6-like, with no coding region annotated. The record is from RefSeq and is a predicted model, not a curated record. The transcript is spliced from 3 exons. NCBI's taxonomy places the organism in Eukaryota, Viridiplantae, Streptophyta, Magnoliopsida, Ericales, Ericaceae.